This is a long non-coding RNA of Ceratina calcarata, 3294 nucleotides long. RefSeq lists it as uncharacterized. The record is from RefSeq and is a predicted model, not a curated record. NCBI's taxonomy places the organism in Eukaryota, Metazoa, Arthropoda, Insecta, Hymenoptera, Apidae. The transcript has 3 exons.
AGCACAGCUGUCGGUAACGCAACUAAGGGGAGCCGAGGGCGGGAUAAGAUCAAAUCCGAGCAGGCAAAUUUUAAUUAUAUCCUGACAUCGAGUUGGCAACAUUCCGUCGUUUUUAAUAAAACUUUUGUGGAAAAAAAGGGGCCGUGGGAUGACGGCGAAUGCCGGAUACGUAUAAUUACACCAACGGAAUAAACGUCACAAGGAAGAAGUUAAAUGUAAAUACCGUGCAGUGCUUCUACGGAUAUUUUAUGGUAUGUAAUUACAUUUGAUCAAAUUUAAUUAGAAAUAUUGUUAUCUACUGAAUUUUAACUGUUCCAUCAAAAUUCCCGAAAUAUCAUUAAUAAUAUCAAGCGCAUUUAAUCACCGCGUCCGGGGGAAUGAAUCAUGUCCAGGCGCAUCGGGGACUCUAUCAAUUCGAGCGCAAUUUAUCAUUCCGUGGUUCGUGAUAAAUUACAAAAGGGUUGCAGAUUUUGAAACGCGCGAAAUUACGUUGCCUCCCCGUGCGACGUUCCAUCGUGUCGAAUAAUGGUAACUAGGGAUUUGAGCGGUAUGUAUUAUAGAUACGUAUACAUACAUAAAGUGUGCAUGUAUACAUAACUAUCGCACUCUUCACGUGACUCGUCGUCAGAGCCUACGAUUUCGAUAUCGGGGUUGAGAUUCUAAAUUGCGCAUAUAAAUCUCUGUAUGCCGCACGGCUCGCGAAAGCGGAGGCCGGAAAAGCGGAGGGUUAAAGUCGCAUGAGCCUGCGAAAGCUUUCGUUCGAAUGGCGCGAGAGCUCAGUUCUGAAUCAAGGAUAUAUGAAGAAGAAUAGAGUGGAAAAAGAGCCGCGACUAAAGAGAACGAAAUUCACAACCGAAAGUAGCGGGGUGGAGGAGAGGUUGCACCCUCGAGAUAUAAAUACUCGCUUGAACUCGAGAGAUGAGGAGUGAAAGCAAUGAUUUUCAGUCGGUAGCUUCAUUCUUCCCCUCAUCUUCCCUCAUUCAUCCCUCCCGGCCUACCUGCCGUCUCCUUUCUUCGUCUCCUUUCUUCGUACGACAUUUUUCUCACUUUUUUCAAUUUUUUUUCUAUUGCGAGCAACGGCGUCACCAUCAACCAGAAGAGCUUCACGAGCACCCUAAACCGCGGGACGUCGAGUGCUAAUUACGAAUAAUUAUGAGUACUAAUUAAGGCCUCCCUUUGCACAGCAGCACACGAAUUACGAGCAAAGGCGCACGAAGCUUUCGAUGAGAUCACCGGUGCGCCGUGGAUUAUUCUUGCUUACGCAGUUACGCAGUGGAAACUUAUUGAUGUGAUUUGAUCAUUUUUUUACACGCUGAUACACCUAGCCGCUUUUAUAUCAACCUGUAAAUCGAUACGUAAAAGAGUUCUGAUGCAUAAUCCAACGGGACCAGGAAAAAGUUAAAAGAAAAUUUCCAAUACCGAUAAGCGAUUUUUUCAAACAUCUCUGAUUCGUAAAGGAUAUUAAAGUUCAAAAGGACCCUUGCUUUCUGCGUAUAGCUCUUUGUACACAUUGAUAUUUCCUCUUUCCAAGUCACGCAGUCGUUUUUUUACGCAAAGAGGACAUUUAACGAUUAACUAAUUGUGCGUGAAAAAUACUGUCAAAGACUAUAAUUACUCUAAAGUAUUUUGAAAUAUUUUCGAUCAAGAAUUAAAUGCGCUAUUCGUUGACAGGAACAUGAAAUCAUUAACGAGGUAUGUUUCGUGACGAUUUUGCGAUAAUAUAUCAAAUAACACAAAUCUUUGAUAAUUCCAUAUUUAAAGGGCUUCACUGUGGCAAAUAAAUUCUGUACGCGGCUAAUUUAGAUUCGUUCAGAACGAUCAAGCUUUAUAAUGCAAAGUCGACAAGCGUUUGUGAUAAGCUGAGUAUUUAGUUGGCUACGCUCGAGCACGAUAGACAUUAAACCAGAUGCGCAGGUGGCGGAUGCGUGAAAGGCUUUUCGCAAGCGCAAUCUCGCAUUUAAUUCGAUUAUUAUAGCUUGGGACCGGCCGUGUAUAGGCAGUGGAUUAAGUAAUUCAUACGUGGAUUCGCGUCGCGUCUCUCCCGUUUCUACACCCCGUGCCUCUAACAUGACCUAACUAUGGUUACCAUGAAUUUCCGCAAUGCUACGUGGAAAAUCUGUUUCCAUGAUUUUCUCUGUCGGGGUUCUGCGUACCUGCGUACACGCAACGGAGUCGAAUUACAGAUGUUCGUGCUAUUUUUUGCGAGAGAAUAAAAUCAGUUGCGAAGAGCGGAAAGUUAGGUUCGCCAAUAUUGACAUUGCGGCUCUUUGUUACAUCCGUUCUAUAGGGUGAAUUGCGUUGUGCUCCCUUUUAUUCGAAUUACUUCGGGCACGGCCGAAAAAUUUUCAUAUCCACGUCAAUUAUUAGCGGUGGAAAAAGUUCAGCAUCGCGCUGGAUCCAAGUAUAACCAGUGAUACCUUCCAGCUAUUUCUCUCCUUUAUUUCUACUUUCUCUUCAACCGCACAGUCCUUUCUGCGCAACUACGUCCACAGGAGAAAACUUGCUCGAUCCGUAAUUCAAUUUGAAAGCGAUUCCUCCGGUCGAGUCGGUACAUCGCGUAAAAUGGAGCCGAACUUUGCUCGCCCCCGUUCCCGAUUGUUUCAUAGGUAGAACAACGAUGAUCGUUAAAACAGGACUAUGGAAAAAAGAGUCGAAUUUUUUUCUUUUCAAUAGCCGCUUUGCAACUACAACUUUCAAGCAGUUAAUGACGCCCUCACGAUUUUCAAGCAGAAUUUUUACCCCCGGCCGAAAAUAAAUUUCAAUGGCUCGUAUUCCAGAACGCGAGAGCAUCGACGGCAUUAAUUCCCUAACGGUAAAAAAUCUGUUCCAAGUGGCUGAUAUCGGUGAUAAUUACUUGAAUUUUUCGCUGCACUCGAUAACGCCCGGCUGGACCAGGUCACUCGCACACAGUCAAACACCGUGCCAAUCUCAGUAUUAAACGAAUUAUUGAUUUCAAUAUAAGUCUGCUUCCUUUUCAACAGUCACUACCAACCUAAUUUAAAUCCGAGUUACAAGUUUAUUUAAUUUCUGUUUAACCAGCAAGAAUUUCCAUUCUUUAAUAAUGUUAUAUCUAUUAGCACGAGCAGGGAUCAAUAUUGUGAAAAGGCAGCAUUUACGAUUUCAGUUGAAGUUUACUUAAGACAAAUUGACCUGAAACUUUUAUGAAAUGUGGUUUUUCUUUCCCGAAGUCAAGCCUGCAAUUUCGAUCCUACAGAUUUUUAAAUUAAAAGAAAUUAACUCUAUCUUUACCAGAUUCUUCCAAGAUUCAAUGUAAAUAGCCUUUCACUAAAGUUA